AGAGUUUGUUCCUGGCUCAGGAUGAACGCUAGCGGCAGGCUUAACACAUGCAAGUCGAGGGGCAGCGGGGAGGAAGCUUGCUUUCUCCGCCGGCGACCGGCGCACGGGUGAGUAACACGUAUGCAACCUGCCCCUGUCAGGGGGACAACCCGCCGAAAGGCGGGCUAAACCCGCGUACAUGCCACCGGGGCAUCCCGGAGGCAGGAAAGGCUUCGGCCGGACAGGGAUGGGCAUGCGGCGCAUUAGGCAGUAGGCGGGGUAACGGCCCACCUAACCGACGAUGCGUAGGGGUUCUGAGAGGAAGGUCCCCCACACUGGUACUGAGACACGGACCAGACUCCUACGGGAGGCAGCAGUGAGGAAUAUUGGUCAAUGGUCGGGAGACUGAACCAGCCAAGCCGCGUGAGGGAUGAGGGUACAGAGUAUCGUAAACCUCUUUUGUCAGGGAACAAAGGCGGGGACGCGUCCCCGGAUGAGUGUACCUGAAGAAAAAGCAUCGGCUAACUCCGUGCCAGCAGCCGCGGUAAUACGGAGGAUGCGAGCGUUAUCCGGAUUUAUUGGGUUUAAAGGGUGCGCAGGCGGUCUGUUAAGUCAGCGGUCAAAGCCCGGGGCUCAACCCCGGCCCGCCGUUGAAACUGGCAGUCUCGAGUUGGAGAGAAGUAUGCGGAAUGCGCGGUGUAGCGGUGAAAUGCAUAGAUAUCGCGCAGAACUCCGAUUGCGAAGGCAGCAUGCCGGCUCCACACUGACGCUGAGGCACGAAAGCGUGGGUAUCGAACAGGAUUAGAUACCCUGGUAGUCCACGCAGUAAACGAUGAAUGCUGGCUGUCCGGGGGGACUGACCCCUGGGUGGCGAAGCGAAAGCGAUAAGCAUUCCACCUGGGGAGUACGCCGGCAACGGUGAAACUCAAAGGAAUUGACGGGGGUCCGCACAAGCGGAGGAACAUGUGGUUUAAUUCGAUGAUACGCGAGGAACCUUACCCGGGCUCAAACGGGGAGUGGCGCAGGCAGAGACGCCUGUUUCCCACGGGACACUCCCCGAGGUGCUGCAUGGUUGUCGUCAGCUCGUGCCGUGAGGUGUCGGCUUAAGUGCCAUAACGAGCGCAACCCCCGCGUGCAGUUGCUAACAGUCAACGCUGAGGACUCUGCACGGACUGCCGGCGCAAGCCGCGAGGAAGGCGGGGAUGACGUCAAAUCAGCACGGCCCUUACGUCCGGGGCGACACACGUGUUACAAUGGGUGGUACAGCGGGAAGCCAGGCGGCGACGCCGAGCGGAACCCGAAAUCCACUCUCAGUUCGGAUCGGAGUCUGCAACCCGACUCCGUGAAGCUGGAUUCGCUAGUAAUCGCGCAUCAGCCAUGGCGCGGUGAAUACGUUCCCGGGCCUUGCACACACCGCCCGUCA
RNAcentral lists this ribosomal RNA (1402 nucleotides) under uncultured bacterium. RNAcentral's name for it is "16S ribosomal RNA". It matches the Rfam family "Bacterial small subunit ribosomal RNA". The record is from RNAcentral.